GUCCACGCCCUAAACGAUGUCAACUAGCUGUUGGGGCCGUUAGGCCUUAGUAGCGCAGCUAACGCGUGAAGUUGACCGCCUGGGGAGUACGGUCGCAAGAUUAAAACUCAAAGGAAUUGACGGGGACCCGCACAAGCGGUGGAUGAUGUGGAUUAAUUCGAUGCAACGCGAAAAACCUUACCUACCCUUGACAUGUCUGGAAUCCCGAAGAGAUUUGGGAGUGCUCGCAAGAGAACCGGAACACAGGUGCUGCAUGGCUGUCGU
RNAcentral lists this ribosomal RNA (264 nucleotides) under uncultured bacterium. RNAcentral's name for it is "partial 16S ribosomal RNA". It matches the Rfam family "Bacterial small subunit ribosomal RNA", at positions 793 to 1055 of the family's 1533-position model. The record is from RNAcentral.